ACAUUCAAAGCCAUGCUUGCAUCCUUGAGCUCAGUCAGAGUUUUGCAAUAAUGUCAUGGAUUAGCAGUGGAGCCAGUACAGAAAUGCAUUGUAUUCACACUGCAAAGCUAGCUGAUUGCCCUAAGAGGUCAUAGCAAACACUUUUUACCUUUCCAGUAAAGUAUCUCCUUCUUGAAGCUAGCUGAGAUCUGAUCUCCUGGACAUGAUAUAUUUUAGGUGGAUGGAGAAGGUUUCGAGUCUGACUUGCAUGUUAUGAGCAGGUCCCAGUCCUUGAGAUUCCCAGCCAGCAAUUAUAAGUGUUGCAGAAACUUUAUGGCAUCAGAAAUUACUGACUGCAUCAAAACUGCAUCUGCCGCAUGGUUUAAAUUCAAUCCAUGGGGCUACAGAGUCUUUUAAAUCACCGAAGGCAAUGUGAAAAGCUCGACUCUGACAAGGUGGAAAAGCUCCUGUGACCCAGAUACAAAGGCUUGGUGCUGAGGCACGCCAGGAGCCUCCCAAAAACCCAGAGCCCUGCUUGCAUGGGAGGAAUUUCUCACGCAUAGAGGACAACCCAGAUCGUAAGCAAGAAGGAUGUGAAAUUAAUACGGGGAAAUAGGAUGACAGGAAGAGAAUGUGCACUCAUGUGCACGCGUGCCUGUGUGCAUGAGGGAGUGCGUUGGCUUUAUGUGCAAUUUUGAAGCAUUCUUCUAAAAGCAACAGACAAAUAAUCCAAGCAUAUAUUACCGCUCCUCUGUUGUGCUGCUCAUUGUGCAGACAGCGUGGCGACAAGCUCAGGAAAAUGCCCAGGGAGAGAAAUGCAGCAAAAAAAAACCCCACCUCUCCUACAUUCAAAUAUAUUCUGCAGUAUUACCCAAAACAGACAGAUGCCCAGCCAUCAGCACGGAUUAGCACAUCAAGUGAUCUCAGAGCAGCGCUAACAACACAAGAGUAAUUGUAAGGCAUGAGGUUGUUUUGUUUUGCAUGUAGUGUAUCUCGAUUUGAUAGUAACCAUUUUAAAGUCUGGAAGAAUUUUGCACUCGCUAAGCUGAUUUUACAAGCAAAGAGAAGUGCUUGUCAGCAAAGGUUAAUGUAGCUGUCACUGCAGGAGAGCCCUGUGGGUAGAAAGAGUCUCAUCUGGCUGUUUUUUAAAGGGCAAGAAUCACUGGAGUAGAGGAGGAAUUUUUCCAUAUUUAGAAACCUUUUGCGUGGUUGUGCUGAACUGCUGCAUGGUGCUGCUCUACAGUAACGGCUUCUAUAAUAUUGUGAUUAUCAGUAUUUGUUUCCACUGCUUGUAUUUUAGGGUCUUGUCUGUUGUUCUUCUCCAAAAUGAAUCGAAUUUGAACUGAGAAGU
This 1330-nucleotide long non-coding RNA is filed under the name Gallus gallus (chicken). Its description in RNAcentral is "lncRNA (ENSGALG00010018249.1)". Lineage: Eukaryota; Metazoa; Chordata; Aves; Galliformes; Phasianidae. The record is from RNAcentral.